UACGGAAGGCAGCAGUGGGGAAUAUUGCACAAUGGGCGCAAGCCUGAUGCAGCCAUGCCGCGUGUAUGAAGAAGGCCUUCGGGUUGUAAAGUACUUUCAGUCGUGAGGAAGGUGUUAAGGUUAAUAACCUUAGCAAUUGACGUUAGCGACAGAAGAAGCACCGGCUAAUUCCGUGCCAGCAGCCGCGGUAAUACGGAGGGUGCGAGCGUUAAUCGGAAUUACUGGGCGUAAAGGGCACGCAGGCGGUUAAUUAAGUUGGAUGUGAAAUCCCCGGGCUUAACCUGGGAAUGGCAUUCAAGACUGGUUAGCUAGAGUCUUGUAGAGGGGGUAGAAUUCCAUGUGUAGCGGUGAAAUGCGUAGAGAUGUGGAGGAAUACCGGUGGCGAAGGCGGCCCCUGGACAAAGACUGACGCUCAUGUGCGAAAGCGUGGGGAGCAAACAGGGAUUAGAUACC
This 453-nucleotide ribosomal RNA is filed under the name uncultured bacterium. RNAcentral's name for it is "bacterial SSU rRNA". It matches the Rfam family "Bacterial small subunit ribosomal RNA", at positions 340 to 786 of the family's 1533-position model. The record is from RNAcentral.